Molecule: ribosomal RNA, 249 nt
Filed under: uncultured euryarchaeote
Lineage: Archaea; Methanobacteriati; Methanobacteriota
Description: partial 16S ribosomal RNA
Rfam family: Archaeal small subunit ribosomal RNA
Source: RNAcentral
GGCGGCUCGAGUGGUGGCCACUAUUACUGGGCUUAAAGCGUUCGUAGCUGGUCUGUUAAGUCUCUGGGGAAAUCUUCCGGCUCAACCGGAAGGCGUCUCAGGGAUACUGGCAGACUAGGGACCGGGAGAGGUGAGGGGUACUCCAGGGGUAGGAGUGAAAUCCUGUAAUCCUUGGGGGACCGACCUGUGGCGAAGGCGCCUCACCAGAACGGCUCCGACAGUGAGGAACGAAAGCUGGGGGAGCAAACC